This is a long non-coding RNA of Pseudopipra pipra, 4665 nucleotides long. RefSeq lists it as uncharacterized. Lineage: Eukaryota; Metazoa; Chordata; Aves; Passeriformes; Pipridae. The record is from RefSeq and is a predicted model, not a curated record. The transcript has 3 exons.
GGGGCGGGGAUGCCGGCGCGGCUCCGGCGGCGCGGCCGAAGGAAGAAGGAAGGAUUCCUCCCGCUCCCAGACCGCGGCCGCGCCUCCGCGCCGCGGGGCUCUCCCGGCGAGCGGGGCCGGAGGAGAGAGGGGAUUAUUUCCCGCCGGCGGCGCAGGGGUCGCGGCGGGGCCGGGUUCGGGGGUCGCCGGUGGUGCCGGGGCCGGGAAGGGGCCGCGUGGGGACAGGAGCGGGCGGGGGGCCCGAGGCGGCGGCGGAGGGGGGCCGGGGGCCGGGGCCGGUCACGGUCACCCCGGGGGCGGUCACUUCGAGGGCGGAGCGGGGCCGGGGGGCCGAGCCCCGGCGGUGAAGACCGGUGCUGUCACAUCGAUGAAAUCGCACGAUGUGUGAACCCGUGCUGGUUUUUCUUUCUAAUUUUUUCUAAUAAUUCUUUCUAAUAUUUAUUUAUUUACCCUCUAAUAUUUUUUUAUUUACCUCUUUAAUGCAGUUCAUGUGUGUUGCCAAGUGCUCCCGUGUCACCGCCCAGUUUCUAUCAUAAUAUUCGCGUUUUAUCAGCUGAAUAAAAGGUUGAGAGGCCGAGACUGAGUUACAGUGUGGCAAUAGUCUUGCUACUAAAUCUGGAGAUGCAUUAGCGUGGUUUGUUUCUAUGAGAAUGCAUUUAAUGUUGUUGUGGCUGUACUUUAAUUAUGCGUUAAAGGUAUUUUUAAUGAUGCAGUGAUAACUUGUCGGUGUGAUUUCCUGACGUAGGGAAAAAAGUAUAAACUUAAAGCUACCAUUGCUAUAUCUUGUAGCCAAGUCUCAUGUUCCAACUAAGAGCGGCUGACACAAUCCAUUACCCUUUGUCACAUCUCAGCAAUUCUUCCCAAACUUUGCCCUGUCGGCUCUCUGCCCCAAGUUGGUUGGCUGAUUGAUUGAGGAAUGCUAGCUGGAAUGGUACAGCUGCUUUCUUACAGUGACAUUAAAGGGAGAUGACUACUCAUGUCCCUACUUGUGACUACAAAGUCACAAGUGUUUUAUGGUAGGUUUGUAACAUGAUGUAGUUAGCCAUGUUUGCAGGGUGCUAUUGCUUGAUCCUUGUCUCGAAAUCAGCCUGUUAUGGUCAAAUUAUAUACUUUUGAAAAACCUUUGAUUUACUUGCAUUUCCUAGAAUAUGUCGGGAUAAUAUUGUCCAGACUCUUCCUGCCUUGGGAAUAUUGGGGUCUUUGAAGAACUGUUUUUGUGGCAACUUUUGGCAGAUUACAAUCAAAAAUGGGAGAAAACAAGCUGUGACUCCUUUAUGCUUGCUGGUCUCUCUCUCUCCAAGAGUUGGAAAGAAAGAUCAGUAAGGAGAAGGUCAAAGCAAAGGUGGUUGACUGCCUGCAAGUGCCUCAACAAUUGAGGAUUUGUAAUCGCUCAGUUUAAUGUACACCAAAGAAUUCACAUAAGAAAACAUGCACAAAUUCCAGAGCCACAGGAAAAUCUUGAACCAACCUUUGUACUUUUUGGACACAAAAUCAAUAAGAAAACUUGCAGGAAGAUGGUAUUUGUUGUUUUAGUUCUUCUAAAGCUGGCUAUCUGAGGCUUUUUAGCUUUGUUUUGUACAGGUGUGAAGUUUGGGCAUAUGUGCAGGAUUAUGACUGCACAUGUCUGACAGUUCUUAACUACUAAUAGAGCCACUAAAAAUUUUAGUAAGCUGUUAUAGCUUUCAGGAAUGCUAAAUUGUUACAAGUGUCAUGAAGGUAACCACCUGAAAGGAAGAAAGAUUCCUUGUCAACACAGGUGAGAGGAGAAUUGUCUAAAGCACUUGACCUUUUUGUUUCUGUUAUUUGCAUGACUGCUGAUAAAGCUGCAUUUCAGAGGUUGCAUUAAAAGAAUGUAGGUUCACUUAGUCAAGCACUUAGAUAUUAGCAGAUGCAUGUAGUGAUUCUUUUUCCCCAUGCUGUCUGAAUGUUGGCUUGUUUUGGAUUAUUCCUCCUCUUGUAUUCUUGUGUUAUCCUUCUCUUCUGUUUUUAAUUUUAUUUUUUUUAUUUUUUUUACCCCCCCUCUCCAUAACUCCUAUGUCACAUUCAGUAUGUGGGUGCUUCUGGAUUAGAUGUGACGUGAUAAGGCAGGCAGUUGUUUGAGAUUGGUCCUGCAUUUGUUCUAGAAACUAUGUAUAAGGAAUUAGCUUAGACUAAUAUUAGCAUACAGAAUCAUAAAAUCAUAGCAUGCUUUUGGUUGAUUGAGACCUUAAAGAUCAUCUAGUUCCAACUACCCUGCCAAGGGCAGGUAUGCUACUUACUAGAUCAGGUUGCUCAGAGCCCCAUCCAACCUGGCUUUGAACACUUCCAGAGAUAGAGCACCCACAAUCUCUCCUUAUUGUAUGCUGUAUCCUUCCUUCUGUUGUAUCCUUCUUCAUAAUUUGUGUUUAUAAACAUAAGCUGUGGAGGGCAGCAAUGUAACCAAUGCAUUCAGAAUGUGCAACUUGGGCCAGUCUGAAGAUUCUUUUUAUGAGCCUACCAGUUUUUUGUUCUAGGAGAUUAUGCCUUUCUUCUUAAAAACCUAUUUUCCAAGUCAUAGUUUCAGGGGGAAAGGUCGUGUUUGGGCAGGAGGGAAGGGAUUCCUGGAGUGCAAAGUGGAUUGCAACAGAAAGGAAGGGAAUUAAGGAGUGGCGAAUUUGUAAACAAGGAAGGCAAAGCAGUUGCUUCUUCUACUGAAAUUGCUAAAAGGCUUUAGUAGAAACAGAAGCUCAAAAAGGAAACAGCUUUCACUAUCCAUGAAUUAACUCAGCUUAAAACCCACAUGGCUUCUGAGGUUGCUCCACACAGGUUUGAUGCUUCUUGCAAUCAUCUUUGUUAGUGCAAGUUCUUGGAAUUCAUUGCUUAAAAUCAGGCUCUUGGACUGUGGACUUCUGUAAUUCAUUAUUAUUACCUUACAGUGAGGGAUAAUGACAGUAUUACCUGUUGAGUGGUGAGCCAUGGGAAAGUAAAGACAGUUUAUUCAGAAGAAAAUAGCUUCUUAAAACUGUGUGGGUUUACAUGCUUAUAUUACUAUAGAAUCGUUUAGGUUGGAAAAGACCUCUAAAAUUAUAGAGUCCAACCAUUAACCCAGCACUGCCACCAUCACCAAAACAUGUCUUUAAGUGCCACAUCUACACAUCUUUUAAAUACCUCCAGGGAUGGUGACUCAACCUUUUCCCUGGGCAGCCUGAUCCAGUGCUUGACAAUUCUUUCUGUGAAGUUUUCCAAACAUCCAAUCUAAACCUCCCCUGGUGCAAUUUAGGCUGUGUCCUCUCAUCCUGUAGCUUGUUACUUGAGAGGUCAGACCACUCCCCACCUUGCUACAACCUCCUUUCAGGUAGUUGUAGAGACCAAAGAGUUCUCUGCUCACCCUCCUUUCCAGGCUAAACAACCACAGCCCCCUCAGCUGCUCCUUAUAAGAUCUGUGCUCCAGACCCUUCACCAGCUUUGUUGCUCUUUGGAUGCUCUCCAGCACCUCAGUGUCUUUCUUGUAUGUUAUGCCCAUCUCACCUAUGAAAUUUCUAGCUCAUGACAAGUAUUGCAGAUCACAUGUUUGGCCUCUUUAUCUUAUGGUGACAGUUACAUGCUUUCAGAUUUUUUUGGAAAGAGCAUUUUGACAGUUGCCUGUAUUGGCAAUGUUACUUUACACCAUUUAAAAUCAGUGUCUUUUUAAGUAUUUUUAGAAACAGGUCAGACAGAUUUGUGAUGCUUUUUCAGAAAAAUUAUGAAUAUAUAAUAUGUGUAGUGUGAAACACAGAGAAAAUGGGGUGACCUCUUUGGCAAUAUCCAGCUUGGAAACUUGUGCUUUAAUGUGAGGUUUAUAAUUUCCUUUGGUAUGAAUGUUCCAUAAAGAAAAGUAAGCUCUUUGUCUUCAUAAACACAUUAAGAAAAGCUUGCCUGGAAUCAAGGUAAUUUCAGAUAAAUUACACCUCUUGGAGUCUGUUCGCUCCUCUGCUGGAAAAAUAUAUAGGUGUCAUCUGUCAAGUACUCUGUUUCUUUUAUAUUAAACACAACUAGGCCUGCUGGGUGGUAAGUGGGAGGCUUAGAGUGGACAGGGUGAGAUUUAUUAUUUCUUUUAGACUGAUGGUUGUUGCUGUGUUUAAUUCAACAUUCUUGAAUUUUCCAAAGACUUCACAUUUUACUGGAACCAGUAGAAGAUGGUGAAAGUUGUGGGUUUUCUACAGUUCUAGAAAAUCAGGCCUUCAGUCUCAAGCUAGCACUUAUUAGUAUUUCUGAAUUCUAGUUUUAAUUUUUUAUUAAGUCAGAAAUUAGUAAAAAUUUGUUCUAUAGCUGACCAGUAAAAUGCAACAAUAAAGCAUUCGCUAACUGCCUUGCUGGUGUUAAUAUCCCCCACUGGAGAGUUGAGAUUUUUUUCUUUGUUUUCUUUAUUUUUAUAGGGCUGCCUUCCAGUUACAGCUUUCAAGAGUUAUCUGCUUUCCAGAUCUGAACGGAAUUCUUCUGCAUCAGGACAGUUGUCCCUUGCUGUUGUACUUGAAGAGGUGACCAUUUGCUAUUUGUGUUCCUGAGUUGUUUGGCUACUUCUGUUUAUUCCUCCCACUGUCAAAGAAUGCAACAAAGUUCUGUCUACACAGAAAAGAAAUGCUACAAGUAAUCCAGCCUGUUGACAGGAAGAUCAGUAAGUGGGAAAUAUGUGAUGAGAUGUUAGGCUCAAUAAAACUAUGAAAUGAA